RNAcentral lists this ribosomal RNA (433 nucleotides) under uncultured bacterium. RNAcentral's name for it is "partial 16S ribosomal RNA". It matches the Rfam family "Bacterial small subunit ribosomal RNA", at positions 29 to 507 of the family's 1533-position model. The record is from RNAcentral.
AACGAACGCUGGCGGCAUGCCUAACACAUGCAAGUCGAACGAGACCUUCGGGUCUAGUGGCGCACGGGUGCGUAACGCGUGGGAAUCUGCCCUUGGGUUCGGAAUAACAGUUGGAAACGACUGCUAAUACGGGAUGAUGACGUACGUCCAAAGAUUUAUCGCCCAAGGAUGAGCCCGCGUAGGAUUAGCUAGUUGGUGAGGUAAAGGCUCACCAAGGCGACGAUCGUUAGCUGGUUAGAGAGGAUGAUCAGCCACACUGGGACUGAGACACGGCCCAGACUCCUACGGGAGGCAGCAGUGGGUAAUAUAGGACAAUGGCCGAAAGCCUGAUCCAGCAAUGCCGCGUAAGUGAUGAAGGCCUUAGGGUAGUAAAGCUCUUUUACCCGGGAUGAUAAUGACAGUACCAGAAGAAUAAGCACCGGCUAACUCCGUG